GGUCAAAUCAUCAUGCCCCUUAUGUCUUGGGCUACUCACGUGCUACAAUGGCUGCAACAGAGUGACGCGAGCUUGUGAGAGUAAGCAAACCACAAAAAAGCAGUCUCAGUUCGGAUUGUAGUCUGCAACCCGACUACAUGAAGUUGGAAUCGCUAGUAAUCGCGAAUCAGCAUGUCGCGGUGAAUACGUUCCCGGGCCUU
Molecule: ribosomal RNA, 200 nt
Filed under: uncultured prokaryote
Description: partial 16S ribosomal RNA
Rfam family: Bacterial small subunit ribosomal RNA
Source: RNAcentral